CCCAGACUCCUACGGGAGGCAGCAGUGGGGGAUAUUGCACAAUGGGGGGAACCCUGAUGCAGCGACGCCGCGUGGGUGAAGAAGUAUUUCGGUAUGUAAAGCCCUAUCGGCAGGGAAGAAAUUGGACGGUACCUGACUAAGAAGCCCUGGCUAACUACGUGCCAGCAGCCGCGGUAAUACGUAGGGGGCAGGCGUUAUCCGGAUUCACUGGGUGUAAAGGGAGCGUAGACGGCCAUGCAAGCCUGGAGUGAAAGCCCGGGGCCCAACCCCGGGACUGCUCUGGGAACUGUGCGGCUGGAGUGCGGGAGGGGCAGGCGGAAUUCCUGGUGUAGCGGUGAAAUGCGUAGAUAUCAGGAGGAACACCGGCGGCGAAGGCGGCCUGCUGGACCGCGACUGACGUUGAGGCUCGAAAGCGUGGGGAGCAAACAGGAUUAGAUACCCUAGUA
RNAcentral lists this ribosomal RNA (446 nucleotides) under uncultured bacterium. Its description in RNAcentral is "bacterial SSU rRNA". It matches the Rfam family "Bacterial small subunit ribosomal RNA", at positions 330 to 792 of the family's 1533-position model. The record is from RNAcentral.